CGACACGGGGAGGUAGUGACAAUAAAUACUGAUACAGGGCUCUUUUGGGUCUUGUAAUUGGAAUGAGUACAAUUUAAAUCCCUUAACGAGGAACAAUUGGAGGGCAAGUCUGGUGCCAGCAGCCGCGGUAAUUCCAGCUCCAAUAGCGUAUAUUAAAGUUGUUGCAGUUAAAAAGCUCGUAGUUGAACCUUGGGCCUGGCUGGCCGGUCCGCCUCACCGCGUGUACUGGUCCGGCCGGGCCUUUCCUUCUGGGGAACCUCAUGCCCUUCACUGGGCGUGCUGGGGAACCAGGACUUUUACUUUGAAAAAAUUAGAGUGUUCAAAGCAGGCCUUUGCUCGAAUACAUUAGCAUGGAAUAAUAGAAUAGGACGUGUGGUUCUAUUUUGUUGGUUUCUAGGACCGCCGUAAUGAUUAAUAGGGAUAGUCGGGGGCAUCAGUAUUCAAGCGUCAGAGGUGAAAUUCUUGGAUUGCUUGAAGACUAACUACUGCGAAAGCAUUUGCCAAGGAUGUUUUCAUUAAUCAGUGAACGAAAGUUAGGGGAUCGAAGACGAUCAGAUACCGUCGUAGUCUUAACCAUAAACUAUGCCGACUAGGGAUCGGACGGUGUUAGUAUUUUGACCCGUUCGGCACCUUACGAGAAAUCAAAGUUUUUGGGUUCUGGGGGGAGUAUGGUCGCAAGGCUGAAACUUAAAGAAAUUGACGGAAGGGCACCACCAGGCGUGGAGCCUG
Molecule: ribosomal RNA, 729 nt
Filed under: uncultured marine eukaryote
Lineage: Eukaryota
Description: SSU rRNA
Rfam family: Eukaryotic small subunit ribosomal RNA
Source: RNAcentral